CCAAAACACCGGCUCUCGUAUGAUCACCGAAAUUAAGCAACAUUGAGCUUGGUCAGUAUCUAGAUGGGUGACCGCUUGGUAAAACCAGGCGCU
Molecule: non-coding RNA, 93 nt
Organism: Acanthosepion pharaonis
Lineage: Eukaryota; Metazoa; Mollusca; Cephalopoda; Sepiida; Sepiidae
Source: the annotation of a GenBank genome assembly